UACGUAGGGUGCGAGCGUUGUCCGGAAUUAUUGGGCGUAAAGGGCUCGUAGGCGGUUUGUCGCGUCGGGAGUGAAAUCAUCUGGCUUAACUGGGUGCUUGCUUUCGAUACGGGCAGACUAGAGGUAUGCAGGGGAGAACGGAAUUCCUGGUGUAGCGGUGAAAUGCGCAGAUAUCAGGAGGAACACCGGUGGCGAAGGCGGUUCUCUGGGCAUGACCUGACGCUGAGACGCGAAAGCGUGGGGAGCAAACAGG
This 253-nucleotide ribosomal RNA is filed under the name uncultured bacterium. RNAcentral describes it as "partial 16S ribosomal RNA". It matches the Rfam family "Bacterial small subunit ribosomal RNA", at positions 524 to 776 of the family's 1533-position model. The record is from RNAcentral.